UUAGCUCCGCUACUAAGAGAUGUGCCAUCUGGGCCUCGGUUUACUCUUCUGCAAAUGACGGCCCCCUCCAGCACCCGCACCAGAGCCCCGGCUGCCUGAGGACGAGGAGAGCGGGGCUGAGGCGGUACGUCUGUGGCGAGAGGGAAGAGAGAGCAGCGGCCCAGUCCUGGCCCAGGGCACCGGGCACCGAGGAACGCAGUGGAGGGGCAGUCCGGUGGGUCUCAGCUAAAGGUGAAGGAAAGGCGGGGCCUGGGGUCCGGCAGGAGGGCUCAGCGCUCCCCUCACCGAAUGUAGCCGACUUGAGGCCGGUGCAGUAGCUGCCAGCGGUAGGAGGUCUUGUCCCGCCAGCCCACGUUCCGGGGGUCAGUCCACAGCAGCCGCACCUGAUCAGGGGUGUGGCCAGUAUGCCACAGGGCAUUCCGGAGAUGUUCACCUGGGCCAGACGCGGAUGUCACUGCCUGGAGGGGAUCGGUGAGGACAGUGCGUUAGCCACAGGCCCCGGACCACAGGCUGAAGCGGCCGCUGUCCUGAUAGCUGAAGAGGAAGCCUGCGUAGUCGUCAUCUGUGACCGUGUUCACGUGGAAGGUGCCUUCGAAGUCCACACCGUUGAAGGCUGUGUAUCCUGGGGGUGGGUGGGGUCAAGGUCAGGGCCGGCAGAGCUACCUACCGGUGGCCCACUGUGGGCCAGGGGUGGGAUGGGACGCCAGCUGUACAUGUGGCCAGCUCAGCCCUCCACCGUCCGCCCCUGUGGGAUUUCUCCAUUUGGAACUUAUUGAGCUGGGUGUCCCUUACAUACCAACGGCCAGGCCGGGGUCACUGUUCAUGGUCUGAACGAUUUCCAUGCCCUGGUGGUGGCAGGAAGGAAGGAAGCCCUGAUCCAGUGCUCUGAGCGCUCCCCCCGCCCCUGCCAGCCCCCACCUGGCAGUCUGGUCUGACAGCACCUGCCCAACCCGGUGCCCUAGUACCUGGUUGAGCACCACCCAGUUUGGGUCAAUCUGGGCAUCACCCUCAGGAUCCAGGACAACCGUCUGAUAGGCCCGGAAAUCCGUGAGGGUCACCUCCGCGCUUUCGGGACACACGUCCAGGGGGUCAACCACCGCAUCAUUGUCAAAGUCAUCCUCACACACGUCACCAACGCCAUUGCCUGCACAGAGUGAGGCCAGGCACUUGGGAAGGCCUGGCCGUGGCCCCGAGGCCGCGCUGCCACCCCUCCCUCCCUGGGCAGGGCCCACACCGGGCCAACGUUCUGUGGGGCCCCAGCCUUACCAUCUGAGUCCUUCUGAUUGGGAUUGGGAACCAGGCGACAGUUGUCGGGACCGGGAGGCACAUAAUCUGGGAUCCCGUCGUUGUCAUCGUCCCCGUCACACUCGUCUCCAAGGCCGUCGUUGUCGGAGUCCAGCUGGGAGCUGUUUGGCAGCUGUGGGCAGUUGUCCUUGGUGUCCUGAUGUCCAUCCCCGUCGCUGCCCAGAACAGGCACCAGAUAAAGGCUCUAAAAGUA
Neofelis nebulosa (Clouded leopard) is the source of this 1498-nucleotide long non-coding RNA. RefSeq lists it as uncharacterized. The record is from RefSeq and is a predicted model, not a curated record. Lineage: Eukaryota; Metazoa; Chordata; Mammalia; Carnivora; Felidae. The transcript is spliced from 3 exons.